This 74-nucleotide transfer RNA is filed under the name Bacteroidota bacterium. RNAcentral's name for it is "Bacteroidetes bacterium (activated sludge metagenome) tRNA-Cys". It matches the Rfam family "tRNA". Rfam says of the family: Transfer RNA (tRNA) molecules are approximately 80 nucleotides in length. Their secondary structure includes four short double-helical elements and three loops (D, anti-codon, and T loops). Lineage: Bacteria; Pseudomonadati; Bacteroidota. The record is from RNAcentral. RNAcentral also lists the same sequence under 1 other name.
GGUCGGGUGGCCGAGAGGCUAGGCAGUGGUCUGCAACACCAUCUACACCGGUUCGAAUCCGGUCCCGACCUCCA